Molecule: small nuclear RNA, 107 nt
Filed under: Octodon degus (degu)
Lineage: Eukaryota; Metazoa; Chordata; Mammalia; Rodentia; Octodontidae
Source: RNAcentral
GUGCUCGCUUCUGUAGCACAUAUACUAAAAUUAGAAUGAUACAGAGAAGAUUAGCAUGGCCCCGGCGCAAGAAUGACACCCAAAUUUGUGAAGCGUUCCAUAUUUUU